RNAcentral lists this long non-coding RNA (255 nucleotides) under Physcomitrium patens. RNAcentral's name for it is "long non-coding RNA (PPAT_LNC011012)". Lineage: Eukaryota; Viridiplantae; Streptophyta; Bryopsida; Funariales; Funariaceae. The record is from RNAcentral.
UAAAUUUAGGACUUUUCUUAUUUUGAAGCUUCAUUGAACAAUUAGUGUUAGCCAAAAGUCUAACGUUUUUUUGAGGCAAAUUCUUUCUAUCCCAAAAACGUACUUGGCGAUGGUUCAAGACUCGGGCUGAUAUGAAGUAUUCAAGAUUCUUGUGAUCUGUAUAUACAAUCACCUAGUGAGAGGCACUUUUAAAAAAGUGGUGCCAUUCUUGGAAAGAAUCUACAAUAACAAGUAGCUCUUUAUCAUAGAUUUUGU